RNAcentral lists this ribosomal RNA (414 nucleotides) under uncultured bacterium. RNAcentral describes it as "bacterial SSU rRNA". It matches the Rfam family "Bacterial small subunit ribosomal RNA", at positions 8 to 424 of the family's 1533-position model. The record is from RNAcentral.
AGAGUUUGAUCCUGGCUCAGAUUGAACGCUGGCGGCAUGCCUUACACAUGCAAGUCGAACGGCAGCACGGGAGCAAUCCUGGUGGCGAGUGGCGAACGGGUGAGUAAUAUAUCGGAACGUGCCCAGUCGUGGGGGAUAACGUAGCGAAAGCUACGCUAAUACCGCAUACGAUCUAUGGAUGAAAGCGGGGGAUCGCAAGACCUCGCGCGAUUGGAGCGGCCGAUAUCAGAUUAGCUAGUUGGUGGGGUAAAGGCCCACCAAGGCGACGAUCUGUAGCUGGUCUGAGAGGACGACCAGCCACACUGGAACUGAGACACGGUCCAGACUCCUACGGGAGGCAGCAGUGGGGAAUUUUGGACAAUGGGCGCAAGCCUGAUCCAGCAAUGCCGCGUGCAGGACGAAGGCCUUCGGGUU